AGGACGAACGCUGGCGGCGCGCUUAACACAUGCAAGUCGAACGGGGUCCUUCGGGGCCCAGUGGCGAACGGGUGCGUAACACGUGAGCAACCUGCCCAUGCAUGGGGGAUAACCAAGGGAAACCUUGGCUAAUACCGCAUACGUUCUCUCGGGUGCAUGCCUGGGAGAGGAAAGCUCCUGCAAGGGAGCGUGCGGUGGAGGGGCUCGCGGCGUAUCGAGCUAGCUGGUGAGGUAACGGCUCACCAGGGCGACGACGCGUAGCCGAUCUGAGAGGAUGAUCGGCCACAUUGGGACUGAGACGUACGGCCAGACUCCG
RNAcentral lists this ribosomal RNA (316 nucleotides) under uncultured soil bacterium. RNAcentral's name for it is "bacterial SSU rRNA". It matches the Rfam family "Bacterial small subunit ribosomal RNA", at positions 26 to 340 of the family's 1533-position model. The record is from RNAcentral.